Molecule: long non-coding RNA, 3148 nt
Organism: Perca fluviatilis (European perch)
Lineage: Eukaryota; Metazoa; Chordata; Actinopteri; Perciformes; Percidae
Exons: 3
Source: RefSeq, a predicted model, not a curated record
CGACUCGUUUUGACUGCCGAGGUGGUAGUGGCCGGAAACAACAACAUUGACAACAACAACAACAACAACGCGUGGUUUUCUCCAGGGCACUUGGCUCUCCAGUACAGCUGCAAGUGAUCUCCUAAUAAUGCCCCAGCACAAGUACUCCUGAGAUCCAGGCAGCCAGCGCCAGUUUGUUUCAGUCACUCACGUGUUGUUUGGAAUCGGCGUUACCUAUGCUACCCGCCUCGCCUAUCUCCACUCCUCCGUCCAUUGGACUACCACCUCCCCUUUUGCAAGAUUUUCUGUACAACUGAGCAUUCAUUAAAACCCUUUUUCUGUGGCCAGGAUAGCUCAGUUGGUGGAGUGGGCUCACAUAUGCAGAGGUUUAUGCUUCGACGCAGAAGGUUAAGGGUUCGAGUCUGAACUGGGACAAUUUCCUGCAUGUGUUCCCCUUCUAUGUCCCCCCUUCACAACUUUCAUAUCCAUUCAAGGUGGAAAUGCCCAAAAAAUUAUCUUUAAAAAAUCAAAAACUUUUGCUAACCCAAAACCUUCGAGUGUAUGCUCUUGAGUCCAGACCUAGAAGACAUAACAGAGGCAUUCUCUUAUUAAAUAUGCACUAAUUUGCAUAAAUGUCCAGAACUGAAAUCUGAAUAUUGGAUAAAGCCAGGUUUGAAAUUCUUGUUUAAUUUUGUUUACGUAUUAGCCUACGGUUUUUACAAAGAGAAAAAAAACGAUUUUAUGAGCAAUGACGAAGUCCACCCUACCUCACCCUUAUCCCACCUGCUGUGUCAACGAUGCCCCAGAAAUUCUGCUGUGUCACCUGCUACUCUCCCCCUGAAGGUAAGAAUAUGUAGAUUGUAAUAAAAUCCAACCAUUUAAUCAUUGAGUAUAUUUAGUAAUAAAUAAUUGAAUAGAUUUUCUGAUGUCUCUAGCCUUUGCCUGUGGCUCCCUCUGAUCAGCAGCCUUCCACAACAUGACCUGGAGAUGAGCACGCAGAAUGUGCAGCAUAACAUUGACAUCAAAUGGAGGAAGAUUGUUAAGUUGAUGUGGUUUUUUGCUCCGUCUGUAGAUCUUGUAGUGGGCAAAUUGACUUGCUGUUCUUCUGCCCAUACAGUGCGAGUAAAAACUCAGUCCCCAUAUCUUUUAGGUCACUGUGACUGGCAUCAAGUUACCCAAGCACUGUAUUAAGAUCAGGAGUGGCGCAACUUUGGAGUACUUUAAUGCAGUCUUGUUCUUUCCAAGGGAUAGGAGACAGUGUCACAUCCCGACAGCGCAUGCAUCCCCAGGAGACCUUGCCUUUUGUCACCCAAUGCCUUGAAGGUGGCAUUUAUGUCCUGGAUGGUUCUAUCCCACUUCCUGUCAACUUGUCCUCAGUAGCACCAACUGGUAGCACCAACUCCUGCUCGUCUUCUCUUCUCAUGAUCUUUGGGACCGGGGUCAUCAUUGUAACAGUCAAAGAUUAUGAGGGUCUUGUUAGCUCCAGCUGCAGUAUCGACAUUGGCCAGGCAUGUAUUGAUGCUAGAGGCAAUGUCCCUGAUUGUACCUGCCACAGGCCAGACAAUGUGGUAGACCAGUCUGGACAUGUAUCAGUUGGGACAACAUUGGGAAGUGGAGUAUUGCCAUCAGGUACUCCCAAUUUCUUGACGAGGAAAGACUUAUCACCUUUUCUCAGACAACCAAAUUCAUCUAUGAGUGAUAAUGGAACAGGGCUGAGCAAAUUAUCAAAGACCUCUUUAAGUUCCAUGCCGCACUGCUACCCCACGACUAAGAGUCGAGCAAAGAGGGCUUCCAUGUCAUAGAUUGACUUGCCUUUACAGUCAUAGCUUUCUUCAUCACCUCCAUGGUUUUGACUCUCUUAUCAAUGGUGCUAUGAAAGCCUUCUGGAAGGGAAGCUGCAAAAUCUCUGCUUUACAGUUCACCAAUCUGAAAAGCAUUCUGCACAUUCACAGAAUCUGGUGCCACCUGUCCUUUAACGAUGUUGUACAGGAUGUGCUGAUUCUUUUUCAAGGAAUGAGAGUGUUUCUGAAACUCCAUCAUGAUUUUCUAAUGAUUGCUUUGAUCCAGCUCUCUUCUCUCACCUUCCUUCUUGUGUUUCUAUCUACUGUGCUUCUCCUUUCCAUCCCAAUGUGCAUUUUCUUCCUCCUCUGGAUUUGUCCUGACUUGUGUACAUUUCCUCCCCUGUCUGGGAAAGAUGGGAGCAAAUGGGAUGUAAAUUGAUCCACACUGCAACUUGCUCUUCACUGGUUAAGAUGCCUUUCAACCCACCUUAUUCUUUCCCUUGUUUAAUGUAGGUCUGCUCGACAAACAUGUCAGCAGAUAUAACAGUUCCACCAUCAGAGUGGCAGCAGAGGUGAGCCACAGCUGAAAGAUCCCGCUUGGCCUCAUAUGGAAGGUUCUGCACCAUCCUAAGGCAGCAGGUGAUGAAACAUGCACAAUUAUGGUACCCAGCACUGAAGAAGUACAGCACCAUCCGCUCCUGGCAGGGCUGCUGUAAGAGGAAGUCUAUAUGCACGAAGGAAGUGAAGUGAGAUGAAGGUGGGAGGAAUCAUACAGUCCAUCCAGAGCCUACCUGUAGGGUGCUCAUGUGCCUUUUCCAGGUAUUCUGUGGUCAUCUUUCAGAAGAUCUUGGAGGACAGCCACAAGCAUCCUAUAUGCAUGCAGUGCAUUUGUCCAGGAUUUGCUAUUGAGAAUGUUGGCGAUGCCACUGAAAGCAGAGCUUCCAUGCCAGAAGCCUUCAUCAAGGUUCCAAUGCAGCCAAGGAAUGACAUUAGAGUGUGCAUCAUGCUGGGAUGAAUGAAUGGUGAUAGCUACUUCUGCUACUUGGGCGGAGUGAUUUGCUCGUGAAGCAGCUCUGUUGUAAAUGCUAACGGUGUUCUGAUAGCACAAUGACAUCAUGUUAGAAAGCACAGCCAAACGAUUUGUCAUAAACUAAUUAACAAUAGUGUUAGCUACGAUGCUAACGUAAUUAAUAACUAAGCCAACGGUGCUGUCACUACUAUUUUAUUGAUUUCUAAGCAACCUGUUUCUUGCAAGUUGUCACGUCACUGAGAAUACAAUUAUUUGAAGGUAAUAUAUGAAGUCGAAGCUAACUCUGACAGCUGGAGGGCAGCUAACAUUAAGUUUAGCUUUCUCCUAAAGCUAAUGUUACUAUAAUGCAGUUAGGAAA